CCUACGGGAGGCAGCAGUGAGGAAUAUUGGGCAAUGGGCGGAAGCCUGAACCAGCCAAGCAGCGUGCAGGAUGACGGUCCUACGGGUUUUAAACUGCUUUUAUACGGGAAUAACGCGCCUUACGUGGAGGGCUUUGCAUGUACCGUAUGAAUAAGGACCGGCUAAUUCCGGGCCAGCAGCCGCGGUAAUACGGAAGGUCCGGGCGUUAUCCGGAUUUCGUGGGUUGAAAGGGAGGGUAGGCUGUAUGUCAAGCGCGCUGUGAAAGAUCCGGGCUCAACCCGGGCCUUGCAGCGUGAACUGGCAUGCUUGAGUCCGCGGAAGGCAGGCGGAAUUCGAGGUGUAGCGGUGAAAUGCUUAGAUAUGACGAAGAACCCCGAUUGCGAAGGCAGCUUGCUGCAGCGGAACUGACGCUGAUGCUCGAAAGCGCGGGUAUCGAACAGGAUUAGAUACCCCAGUAGUC
RNAcentral lists this ribosomal RNA (460 nucleotides) under uncultured bacterium. RNAcentral's name for it is "partial 16S ribosomal RNA". It matches the Rfam family "Bacterial small subunit ribosomal RNA", at positions 338 to 795 of the family's 1533-position model. The record is from RNAcentral.